UACGGAGGGUGCGAACGUUGUUCGGAAUUACUGGGCGUAAAGCGCGCGUAGGCGGCACGGCUAGUCAGAUGUGAAAGCCCUCGGCUCAACCGAGGAAGUGCAUUUGAAACUGCCGAGCUAGAGUACGGGAGAGGGUUGUAGAAUUCCCGGUGUAGAGGUGAAAUUCGUAGAUAUCGGGAGGAAUACCAGUGGCGAAGGCGGCAACCUGGACCGAUACUGACGCUGAGGUGCGAAAGCGUGGGGAGCAAACAGG
This 253-nucleotide ribosomal RNA is filed under the name uncultured bacterium. RNAcentral describes it as "partial 16S ribosomal RNA". It matches the Rfam family "Bacterial small subunit ribosomal RNA", at positions 524 to 776 of the family's 1533-position model. The record is from RNAcentral.